GUCGAACGAUGAAGCCCAGCUUGCUGGGUGGAUUAGUGGCGAACGGGUGAGUAACACGUGAGUGACCUGCCCUUAGCUCUGGGAUAAGCCUGGGAAACUGGGUCUAAUACCGUAUAGGAGCGUCCACCGCAUGGUGGGUGUUGGAAAGAUUUAUCGGUUUUGGAUGGACUCGCGGCCUAUCAGCUUGUUGGUGAGGUAAUGGCUCACCAAGGCGACGACGGGUAGCCGGCCUGAGAGGGUGACCGGCCACACUGGGACUGAGACACGGCCCAGACUCCUACGGGAGGCAGCAGUGGGGAAUAUUGCACAAUGGGCGCAAGCCUGAUGCAGCGACGCCGCGUGAGGGAUGACGGCCUUCGGGUUGUAAACCUCUUUCAGUAGGGAAGAAGCGAAAGUGACGGUACCUGCAGAAGAAGCACCGGCUAACUACGUGCCAGCAGCCGCGGUAAUACGUAGGGUGCGAGCGUUAUCCGGAAUUAUUGGGCGUAAAGAGCUCGUAGGCGGUUUGUCGCGUCUGUCGUGAAAGUCCGGGGCUUAACCCCGGAUCUGCGGUGGGUACGGGCAGACUAGAGUGCAGUAGGGGAGACUGGAAUUCCUGGUGUAGCGGUGGAAUGCGCAGAUAUCAGGAGGAACACCGAUGGCGAAGGCAGGUCUCUGGGCUGUAACCGACGCUGAGGAGCGAAAGCAUGGGGAGCGAACAGGAUUAGAUACCCUGGUAGUCCAUGCCGUAAACGUUGGGCACUAGGUGUGGGGACCAUUCCACGGUUUCCGCGCCGCAGCUAACGCAUUAAGUGCCCCGCCUGGGGAGUACGGCCGCAAGGCUAAAACUCAAAGGAAUUGACGGGGGCCCGCACAAGCGGCGGAGCAUGCGGAUUAAUUCGAUGCAACGCGAAGAACCUUACCAAGGCUUGACAUGUUCUCGAUCGCCGUAGAGAUACGGUUUCCCCUUUGGGGCGGGUUCACAGGUGGUGCAUGGUUGUCGUCAGCUCGUGUCGUGAGAUGUUGGGUUAAGUCCCGCAACGAGCGCAACCCUCGUUCCAUGUUGCCAGCACGUCGUGGUGGGGACUCAUGGGAGACUGCCGGGGUCAACUCGGAGGAAGGUGAGGACGACGUCAAAUCAUCAUGCCCCUUAUGUCUUGGGCUUCACGCAUGCUACAAUGGCCGGUACAAUGGGUUGCGAUACUGUGAGGUGGAGCUAAUCCCAAAAAGCCGGUCUCAGUUCGGAUUGGGGUCUGCAACUCGACCCCAUGAAGUGGAGUCGCUAGUAAUCGCAGAUCAGCAACGUGCGGUGAAUACGUUCCCGGGCCUUCACACACCGCCCGUCAAGUCACGAAAGUUUGUAACACCCGAAGCCGGUGGCCUAACCC
RNAcentral lists this ribosomal RNA (1367 nucleotides) under Micrococcus sp. RNAcentral describes it as "bacterial SSU rRNA". It matches the Rfam family "Bacterial small subunit ribosomal RNA". Lineage: Bacteria; Bacillati; Actinomycetota; Actinomycetes; Micrococcales; Micrococcaceae. The record is from RNAcentral.